AAUGAACGCUGGCGGCAGGCCUAACACAUGCAAGUCGAACGAAGCCUUCGGGCUUAGUGGCGGACGGGUGAGUAACGCGUGGGAACAUACCCAAAGGUACGGAAUAGCCUCGGGAAACUGGGAGUAAUACCGUAUGUGCCCUUUCACUGUAGUGGUGGGAGGGGAAAGAUUUAUCGCCUUUGGAUUGGCCCGCGUUGGAUUAGGUAGUUGGUGGGGUAAUGGCCUACCAAGCCGACGAUCCAUAGCUGGUUUGAGAGGAUGAUCAGCCACACUGGGACUGAGACACGGCCCAGACUCCUACGGGAGGCAGCAGUGGGGAAUCUUAGACAAUGGGCGCAAGCCUGAUCUAGCCAUGCCGCGUGAUCGAUGAAGGCCUUAGGGUUGUAAAGAUCUUUCAGAUGGGAAGAUAAUGACG
This 415-nucleotide ribosomal RNA is filed under the name uncultured Pseudorhodobacter sp. Its description in RNAcentral is "bacterial SSU rRNA". It matches the Rfam family "Bacterial small subunit ribosomal RNA", at positions 29 to 456 of the family's 1533-position model. Lineage: Bacteria; Pseudomonadati; Pseudomonadota; Alphaproteobacteria; Rhodobacterales; Paracoccaceae. The record is from RNAcentral.